GGUAAAAAAGCUCGUAGUUGGAUUUCUGUUGAGGACGACCGGUCCAUACCACGUAUGCGCAUCUGGCUCGGCCUCGGCAUCCUUUCGAAAGACGUUUCUGCGCUUGAUUGCGUGGAGCGGAUCUCGGAACUUUUACUUUGAGGAAAUUAGAGUGUUCACGGCAGGCUAUCGCCAGAAUACAUUAGCAUGGAAUAAUACUAUAGGAUCUUGGUUCUAUUUUGUUGGUUUCUAGAAUUGAGAUAAUGAUUAAUAGGGACAAUUGGGGGCAUUCGUAUUAACACGUCAGAGGUGGAAUUCUUGGAUUGUGUUACGACGAACUACUGCGAAAGCAUUUGCCAAGGAUGUUUUCAUUGAUCAAGAACGAAAGUAAGGGGAUCGAAGACGAUUAGAUACCGUCGUAGUCUUUACCAUAAACUAUGCCAACUAGAGAUCCGGCAUCGUUCACUUACGACUUGCUGGGCACCUUAUGGAUACUAAAGUCUUUGGGUUCCGGGGGGAGUAUGGUCGCAAGGCUGAAACUUAAAGGAAUUGACGGAAGGGCACCACCAGGAGUGGAGCCUGCGGCUUAAUUUGACUCAACACGGGGAAACUCACCAGGUCCAGACAUAAUAAGGAUUGACAGAUUGAUAGCUCUUUCUUGAUUUUAUGGGUGGUGGUGCAUGGCCGUUCUUAGUUCGUGGAGUGAUUUGUCUGCUUAAUUGCGUUAACGAACG
Molecule: ribosomal RNA, 713 nt
Filed under: uncultured marine alveolate
Lineage: Eukaryota
Description: SSU rRNA
Rfam family: Eukaryotic small subunit ribosomal RNA
Source: RNAcentral